Callithrix jacchus (white-tufted-ear marmoset) is the source of this 4735-nucleotide long non-coding RNA. RefSeq lists it as uncharacterized. Lineage: Eukaryota; Metazoa; Chordata; Mammalia; Primates; Cebidae. The record is from RefSeq and is a predicted model, not a curated record.
GACAUCAGACGCAGGCUGCGUCCUCUAAACCAAUAGUAAGAGGUCGUGGAGGCGCCCCGGAAAAGGGUUGCCCAGGCAACCAGGCGCCAGUCGUUCAGAGGGCAGCUGUCUUUCGCGACAAAGAAGCACCAGGUGGAGGAUGUUUUUCGAGUAAGAGUUGCAGAGAGCAGAGAGAAGAUAACGGGUUCCCAGUCGCCCGCGCCUUAACCUCUCUCCAUAGGUUGCCCUUCCUCUCCUUGAAAUUGUGUAGAGAGGAUAAGGCUUGGAGGAAUGUGGCAUCUGGUCCUCUGUUGUCAUCUGCUGGGAUGUACAUACUUUGGUCUUUCUGGUCCUCAGUCAUUUAUCCUUUAUUCAGAAUGCAAGAGUAAACAUGGACAAAAAAUGCAGAAGCCAUAUGCUAAUAAUGAUGGAACAAGAAGGCAAGAGGAACCUGGGGCACUUGGACUUCAAGUAGCUGUCAAACCACUUCUAAACUGCAUCUCUCUUCCUGACCUCUUGUUUUUUGAAAAAAAUAAGCUGACCAAAUUUCAGUGGUUUAUUUUCCAGUAAGUUCAACCUAACUCAAUGCCUAGGUUCAAUACUAGAGAAGAGACUCUUCUAUAAAAGCAAGCUUGAAGUGUAUAUUUUUCUUUUUUUAAUUAAUUAUGGUAAGAAAACGCAAGCACAUAACAUAAAAUUUACCAACUGAGAUCCAUUUUGAACUGUACAGUCCCGUAGCGUCAAGUAUUUUCACAUUGUUGUGCAACAAACCUUUUUCUUGUGUUGUUAUUUGAGGAUGGGAUCUUAGGAGUUAAUUAAGUUGAGAUUAGGUUAUGAGGGUGAGUCUCCCAUGAUGGAAUUAGUGCUUUCAUAUGAAAAGAUAAUAGAGUUUCUGUGUGUGCACUCUCUUGUUCUCUCUCUCUCUCUCUCUCUCUCUCUCUCUCUCUCUCUCUCUCUCUCUCUCUCUCUCUCUCUCGCCCCCCCAACCCUCUCUCUGCUAAGUGAGGACACAAUAAGAAGGCAGCCUUCUGUAAGCCAGGAAGAGACCCCCUUACCAAGAUCUGGUCAUGCUAGCACCCUGAUCUCAUACUUCCAGCUCCAGAACUGGGGGGAAUAUGAUUUCUGGUGUGUAAACCCCUCAGUCAGUGGUAUUUUGGUAUGGCAGCCUGAGCUGACUGAGACACACAAUACAGGAAAUAACUUUCAUGUCCAUCAGUGGGAGAAUAAUUGGAUAAUUAUUGAGCAUUAUUUAUCUAUUAAAAAGAAUGAAUAAGAGAUGAAUGUAUUGAUUUCAUUAGUGUCCAUGAUCCUUUUUAAGAGAGAAAAAAAAGGAAGUUGUAAAGUGACGCAUAUGGAUUGAACUUCUGUUUGUAAAUGAAAUUAAAACAACUAAAAUACAUGCAUAUUUUUAUAUAUAAACGUACACACAUAGACAUAUCUUAUUUACCUGUCUAUCCUUGUGUUUGCCUCUAUCCACCCCCAUUUGUCUGUCUGUGAAUCCAUCUGAUCUAUCUAAUGCUACCUGUUAGUCUAGAGAAAUGCUUAAAAUGGCGCUUUCUUCUGAAGAGUGUAAUUAAUAGCAGAGGAAAGAUUAAUUUUAUUCUUUAUAUAUCUCUGCAUUGUUUUACUUCUUAAGCAACUUUGAAGUUUUGUAAUUCAGACAGAAAAAAAUUAGUUUUUUUUAAUGGUGGGGAUUUUAAAACACUUUACUAUGUAGCUUAAGAAUUAAAACACUCAAGAGAAGGUUGAUCAGAGAUAUUUUCCAUCUGAGUAUUUCUUAUCUCAUCCUAUCCCAUAUGGUAAAAAGGAAUUCUCUCAUUAGUGGAGUAUGCUAUUUAAGUCCUAAUUACAGAAAGCCUGUAAAUAUUUGGAAAUCUGUAAAGUUAAUUGUAUGAUUUCUCAAAGCCAGUUAUUAUAAAGAGAAAAAGAAAACAUUAUCCAAAUAAACUGCUUGAAAUGUUCUAAAACACUGUGUAUUAAAAAUAUUUAUCUUCCAUACUUCAUUUUUUAGAGUUGAAAGAUACACUCAGAGGCCAAAUAGCAAAGAUCCCUUAUUUUAAAGUUUAGACAAAUGAAGCCCAGAAAGUAUUCACAACUUGCCCACAGUCUACAAUGAAUUUGUAAGAAAAAUGAAGACAGCAGUUGAAAACCUAGUGAUUAGAAAACUGUAUGGAAAACUAUAAGAAAAUUAUGUUUCAUCUACUUGGUACAUACAGUAAACAACCCUAGAACUUAGUAGCUUAAAACAAUAGGAAUUUAUUACUUUUCGUGAUCCAUGGGUCAGGAAUUUGGGCUGAGCUUGCUUUCUUUCCACAUAGUGUUGGCCAGGGAUUUUUCACUUGGCUGCAUUGAGCUCAAAGCUGGUUGUCUUGGUGCCUUUCCAUGCUUCACAUGAUGAGCAUGGGUUUCCUUACAGCAUGGUGAUCUAAGUGUAGUCCAACCUCCUUCCAAGAAGGAAUGUUCCAAGAGGAUCAGCACCAAUGUCUUAAAGCUCACACAAGCUCUUUUUUUACCAUAUGUACUAAUGCCACACUGGUCAGAGCAAGUCAUGAGGCAGACAUAUGACUGUCAAACCACAGUCUAUAAAAAAGAAGGCAUAAGUGGGUAUAAUUUUAUGUUAACCUUUAAGCAACAAGGAAUCCUAAUUUAAAGGAAUAAAUGUGACUACACUGGAUUUUUUUAGUAUAGGAGUUGGCAAACAUUGGCACUAAGUCCAGCAGACUAAAAUGUCACUGUGGUCUACUGGCUGGCACAGGGACUUAUGAAGGUCAGGUGAUUAAUGCAGUUUUAGCUCAGAUCUAUCCCACAGUGGCUCCAGUGAGUCUCUGAACCCAGGCUGUGAUUAUUUCCCCAUUUCUGGGAUGCAUAAUAUAAAUAGACGUCCUCAGAAACUGGCAGAAUUUUCACAUUCAUUCCUUGGCCUGUGAAGUGAGGGCUACAGUAGUAGAAAAGGCCAAGAGAAACCACUAGAACAGCAUUUACCUAGGAAAAUAGUAGGCCAAAAACAACAUCACAUGCCUAGAGGGGUAUCAGUGAUGAAUGCCACCAACAAGCACUGAAACUAUAUAGACGUUGUAACUGCCAUCACAUUUCCAUUCAACUCACCUAUUUGACCAGUGUGGAAAACUGACAAAACUAGGAGAAACACGGUAGAUUUUCACAAAGCUAAAUCAAUUACUUCAGACACAGCUACUGUACCAUAUGUGGUUCAUUGCUUGGGGAAAUUACCGUAUCUUCUGGUACCUCGUAUGCGACUAUUGAUCUGGCAAAUGCUUUUACGCUCACUAUGCAUUAGUAAAGUCUCAGUGAUUCUAGCAUUGAAAGUUAGAGUUUGGGAACACAGAUACAGUGAUGCCUUUUACGCUCACUAUGCAUUAGUAAAGUCUCAGUGAAGCAGUUUGCUUUCAUCUGACAAAGCCAACAAUACUCCUUUACUGUCCCACUUCAGGGGUAUAUGGGCUGUCCUACCAUGCUUCAUAAUUUAAUUGACGGAAACUUAGAUAGCCUUUUCCUUCCAUAACAAAUUACACUGGUUAUUUGCACUGAUGAUAUUAUGAUGACUGGACUGAAUGAGCAAGGAGUAACAACUCCACUGUAUUUAUAGGGAAGACAUUUACAUGUCAGAAUGUGGAAAAUAAAUCUGACCAAAAUUCAAGUACGUCCACCUCAGUAUAAUUUCUAGGGAUCCAGUGGUAUGUGGCAUGUCGAGAUAGUCCUUCUAAGGCAAAGGACACAUUGUCGCAUCUCACCACAAAAAGAGACACGACACCUAGUGGGCCUCUUUGGAUGUUGGAGGCAACAUAUUUGACUCUUGGGUGCAAUAUUAUAGCCCAUUUACAGAGAGACCCUAAAAGCUACCAGUUUUGAGUGAGGUCCAGAGCAAGAGAAGGCUCUGCAACAGCUCCAGGCUGCUAUCCAAGCUGCUUUACCAUAUAAUCCAGUACAUCUAAUGGUGUUUGACGUGUCAGUGGUAAAUACAGGUGCUGUUUAGAACCAAUGACAUAAAGCAAUCAUUUUAUUUAGGUGAAUGAUAAGCACACUUUGAAACUUUUCACAAAUUCUCCCAAAUCUUUCAUUUUUCACUCUAUACCUUUCACCUGGUGUGAUGGUUAAUUUUAUGUGUCAACUCGACUGGGCCAUGAUGCCUUGAUACUUGAUUAAUCAUUAUUCUGGAUGUUUUUGUGAGGGUGUUUUGCUAAGGGAUUUACAUUUAAGUUAGUAGACUUUGAGUAAAGCAGAUUGCCUUCCAUAAUGUGGGUAGUCUUCACCCAGUCAGUUGAAGGCCUUAAUAGAACAAAAGAAUGACCUUCCCUGAAGCAAGAUGGAAUUCUACAGCUUAACAGCCUUCACACUUGAACUGUAGCCUUGGCUCUUCUGGAUCCCUGCUCUGCAAGUUUUGGACAUGGCAGCCUCCAUAAAUACAUGAGCCAGUUCCUCAAAUAUCUUUCUCAUUCACACACACACACACACUAUUGAUUCUAUUUCUUUAGAGAAUAAUGCACUUGAUUUCUCCAUAUUUUGUAUAAAUUCUAGUUGUCCAGUAGGGCAGCCUUGAAUAGCAGUAUCAAAACUCUGUAAAAAGGCUAAUCUGUGUAUCUGUGUUCCCAAACUCUAACUUUCAAUGCUAGAAUCUCUGAAGUACUUGUUUUGCUGCUGAGAGGAAUUGGCUGUCUUUGGUCUUCGGCUCCCACAUUGGUUUAAAGAAAGAGAUCAGUGUUGGGAAUAAGAUAGCUCCAAAGAGCAGAAUGAAGGGAAA